This 23-nucleotide non-coding RNA is filed under the name Cricetulus griseus (Chinese hamster). The record is from RNAcentral. Lineage: Eukaryota; Metazoa; Chordata; Mammalia; Rodentia; Cricetidae.
UAUGGUUGGGAGAUGUGCUGGAA